CAAGGUGAAACCUAAUUGGCCUGAAGAAGAGCUUGCGUCUGAUUAGCUAGUUGGUGGGGUAAGAGCCUACCAAGGCGACGAUCAGUAGCUGGUCUGAGAGGAUGAGCAGCCACACUGGGACUGAGACACGGCCCAGACUCCUACGGGAGGCAGCAGUGGGGAAUUUUCCGCAAUGGGCGAAAGCCUGACGGAGCAACGCCGCGUGAGGGAGGAAGGUCUUUGGAUUGUAAACCUCUUUUCUCAAGGAAGAAGUUCUGACGGUACUUGAGGAAUCAGCCUCGGCUAACUCCGUGCCAGCAGCCGCGGUAAUACGGGGGAGGCAAGCGUUAUCCGGAAUUAUUGGGCGUAAAGCGUCCGCAGGUGGUCAGCCAAGUCUGCU
This 379-nucleotide ribosomal RNA is filed under the name uncultured Microcystis sp. Its description in RNAcentral is "bacterial SSU rRNA". It matches the Rfam family "Bacterial small subunit ribosomal RNA", at positions 196 to 593 of the family's 1533-position model. Lineage: Bacteria; Bacillati; Cyanobacteriota; Cyanophyceae; Chroococcales; Microcystaceae. The record is from RNAcentral.